CCUCAUGCUUCAAAAUAGUUUCUAUCUUUAAUUUUUUUCUCCAUCCCUUGUUCUCUCUCAAAAGCUUAAAUAAAUUUUCAUUUUCUUUGGUUGGAGGAGAUUAGGAAUCCUAGGCUUUUUGAGAUUGUGGUGAAAUCGUUUAGGAAUUCUUGGGUUCAGGUAUUGGUGUUGGAGUCGUGUGCGUGGUUCAGUACCGAUGGGCUUCAUGUUGUUGCAAACGGCAAGAAAGAGAUCCCAGAUGGAGCAGUGGAGAUACACAAUCAUGGAGAACUAACCUCGUGAAAGAAUGAAACUGAUUUCAAGUAGCAUUGGUUAUUGUUCAGAUUUCAUUUAUAAUAUUAGGUGUACCUCUGGUACGUCCUCUCCUGAUGGUAUGGAUGGAUUUCAAGCUCAAUAGAUCUGUAUCAUAAAUUACGAGUUAAUCAAUUAUGUUUUAUUUUAGGGCCCUUGGGUUUCAAAUGACCAGGGAGGUAACUUUUAUAAGAAGGCUUGUGUAAGAAUCAGGGUAAUCCGGUUAUUUUAUCUCAGGUAGUCAAAAUCACUUAUUUACUCUGUUUUGUAGAAUCAGUAAAUGAUAGAUGUGCAAGUGGUGUCAAACAGGUUGCAUGGAGAUGCCCACAAUUUGUUGUCCUAUUUAUUUUUAAAUUUGUAGCUAAUUAGUGCAAGUACCAAGUACUAUUGCACAAAAAAUGAAGAUAACUUGUAAGUAUCCAUUUCCAGUUUACUAGUGGUUAUAAAAUCAACCAGCCCUUUUUAG
Molecule: long non-coding RNA, 757 nt
Filed under: Helianthus annuus (common sunflower)
Lineage: Eukaryota; Viridiplantae; Streptophyta; Magnoliopsida; Asterales; Asteraceae
Description: hypothetical non coding rna
Source: RNAcentral